Long non-coding RNA from Oncorhynchus tshawytscha (Chinook salmon), 3318 nucleotides. Lineage: Eukaryota; Metazoa; Chordata; Actinopteri; Salmoniformes; Salmonidae. The record is from Ensembl.
CUAGAAACAAUGUAUAUUAAUAGACAAGAUAACUCACAGAAAAGGAAGGACAGUUGGUCUUGUAAAAAUAUAGGGAUAUAAAAUAUAGGGACAAUUCUAAAGUAAAUAGAACAACACACAUACCUAAAUUAUGGUAAAAUAAAUAAGUGGUGGCAUUUUGAACUCUAGAGCAAAAGUUUAAGAAGCUUAGAACUUAGUUUUGUUGGGAUUGGAUAUUCUUCCAACUGGAAGACACUUGACUGAUUACAUGUUAUUCUUACAGCAGUUGCUGUAGGGACCAUAAUUUGGCUAUCAUUGUGAAUAUUUUUGUGGCAGGAGUCCAGGUAUUUGAGACAGAAUGUUUACAUAGAGAUGUUAUUUAAAAAUUCAGAUUUAGUGAUCUUGCUCUAAGAAGAAAGGAAAUUACCCAUGUGUUAGUGUAUAUCCUCAGGAAAAAACAGCACAUAAGACGCCAGAUGGAAGGGCAUGGGCUGAAUUCUGGAGACUGAGUGUACAUCAAUAUACACCAGGCUGGGGGUAUACUUCUUACAGCACCUGCAGUGGUAAAGAUCGUCAUGUCUCUCUUUGGUGGGUGCAUAAGUCUCACAAGAAGUGAGGUCCAGCUGAAUAAUGGGUCUUAUGUUUAGGAAACCAGAUGGAGAAGGGUUCGCCAGCUUCAGCUGGAAUGUCAGUUUGUUGUGUGAUGAGUGAUGGAAGUAAGAGAAUGUAUGGUGUAAUCAUAGAACAGAGGCCAUAAGUCUCUAAGUCUGAAUGCCUCACAGAAAGAAGGCAGAAGCCUGAACCAGGACGACAGGUUCCACGUCUGAUGAUCCAAGGGGACCAGAAGGACCUCUCCCAGUGAUACCAGGAGAUCUAGUCUACGUUCGAGUGUUCCGGAGGAAGUGGGAUCAACCGAGGAGAGAAGGACCCUACGAGGAGGCCGCAGCAACAAACACGGCAGACCAAGUGAAAGCCAAAAUACGACAGGUGCAUCGCCUAAUGCACCCAGAAGGAGAGACAACACUGGAGGGAGAACCUGCGAACAACCAGAAUUCACUCCUGUGGGGCCAGAGUGUCCAGGGAUGGGAGGGAGUAACAUGCCUGAUACUCUUGAUGACAUACCUGUUGUGGCAGACCUCUUUGACAGAAGCCCUCCACAGUGGGACCCCGAAGUAUCACCUACAGAAUGGGAACAUCUCUUCCCUAAAAUUGACACCCUUCCAGAUGGAAGCCCAGUCCGUCCUGAGGAGGGAGCCUCAGGGGAAGAAAGAGGAGGAGAGGCCUCACAAGGAACAGAAGGAGAGACCCCACAAAGAGGAGGAAAAGUCCAGCAAGCUGAAGAAAAUGGGGAUUUCCCCACAAUUGACUUUUCAGCUCUUGAAUGGUAUCCUUAACAGACACUUGAAGUUAGAACCACAGAAGAACAAUGACAUUGACAUAACAGAAGUAACAGUGAAUGCUAUUAUAGAAACAACAGACUCACGCACAAUCAAGAUGUAGGGUGGAAACGGGAAGAGAAGUGAGGAACCAGUCAAACAAUCUAAAAAGACUGACAAGGUUAGAAUCUCUGUUCCACCUCAACACAUAACUGAAACAGGAGAACAGAAGACAAAAGGAUCAAACCCUUACCGGAGAUUGCAUUCGGUGGAUGGACACAUCAAACGAAGGGAGAAGUCAUUUGGGACUCAAAAGGAUGUGACCUGACAUUAACCAAAGAAGUAGACAAGUGGGUGCUCACCAUGAAUCAGAUUGAACCAGUUGAAGGUGAAGAAUUAAUAGUUGAAAUAACAAGAACAAGAUUGACCGAAGGGAGUAGCACCUCAGUCAUUAGAAUUGGUCCUACGCGAAUACCUAAACAGGAAGAGCUAGAAUGACAAAGAAACCUAAAGCAUCAGAACCAGGAGGGUUCUUUACUGACAUUUGGAACUUUUUGACAAACUCUAAUGAUAUACCUCAAGACAAAAACAUUGUAAAAGCGACAUAUAUCUCAGAAUCAGAACCACUCAAGGACGCCACACGAGAAGAAGGUGUGAAGAACGAGUGGUACGAAUGGGCUAAGUAUACAGCAAAAACAAACAGGAUGGACAAUUGUAUUUUGUGUAGAAAAUCAGCUUUGUCUGAUCUUUUGAUAGUACCUGAACUUGCAUCAUUUGAAGAAUGUGUUAAAUGUAAAAUGUUCAAUGUAUUCAGAGAAAAUACUACAUUCCUUUGUGUAACAUAGAAUGCAGUUUGGCACUAGGUAACACUAAAGGCAGAAGUGAAUUAAAUCAAAAAUAUGUUGGGAGAACAUGAAUGUGCAAUAUAAGAACUGAAUUGAAUGAUCCUCAUAAUGAUGGGUUUACUAUUGUAAAAAGAAAAGAAAGGGAAAAAAUGAAUGUUUCUACAGCUAUGGAGAUAAUGGGAUAGGAUGUGGGAAACACUACAGUUAAUUGAAUAAACGACUUGAGUGAUAGAAACUGCAGGAGUUAGUCAAUUUUAUAAAGUAAUGAUUGUAAAACACAAAGGUAAAAUGUGGUAAUAUAACUCAAGUAACAUUAUAUCUUGAAAUGUUAAAGAAUCAGGAUUAAGGAAUAGCUGAUAGUUUCUGGAUGAGUGGGCAUACUACAUGCUCAUUGCUUCUUCACAAUAUAAUGAAUGAUUAUAAGUGUUUUAUUCUUUACAGACUAGAUCUUUUACUCCUAUCUAUGUUAUUGUUUGGAGAUGUUUGGAGAGGUUUUGUAAGUGUUUUAUGUUUCAAAUAGGAUCUGGAGAUGUUUGGUCCAGGUGAUUUGUAAACUUUAUUUUUGUUAAUGGUUUUGUCAACUGUUGGUAUUGGCCUCCACCCUAUAUGUCCUUUUAGUGUAGUUUUUGGUGCUAAAUUAGCACCAGAGGAGGGAUUUGUGAGAGCAAGAUGUACAUAUAGGGAGAAACAUAAUAUUGUAGCACAAGAGAAAGAUACACUUAGAGUGCAUUUGCCAUUCUGGUAAAAUGCAUUGUCUAUUGUAUAGGACAUGACGAGAAGAGACACAUAGUCUACUAGUCCUAAUAAGGACAAGCCAAACAUAAGGGGCCCAUAGGAUAAGAUGGGUAUGUAUUAUUUUUGGGACAUGAAGAGGUCCUGUCACCAUUAUAACUUGACUGAAAGCAGAUAUGGGUGUUAUUGGGUGUGAACAAGCAGGAAGCACAUAUUGAAAGAUAAUGGUGGCAGAUGGACUGAGGGAAGUAACUUCAUUUGCAUGUGGGAUGGACUCAUAUGUUGUAUGUGUAUAAAUCAGAGCCAGUGCUCUGGAAAUGUGUGUGUUCCGCAGACCAUCUAGGCUUCUGAUAUGUUUGUAUUAAAAGCCUAUAUUGAAUUCACAA